Molecule: ribosomal RNA, 254 nt
Filed under: uncultured bacterium
Lineage: Bacteria
Description: partial 16S ribosomal RNA
Rfam family: Bacterial small subunit ribosomal RNA
Source: RNAcentral
UACGUAGGGGGCAAGCGUUGUCCGGAUUUAUUGGGCGUCAAGAGCUCGUAGGCGGUUCGAUAAGUCGGACGUGACAUCUCCACGCUCACCGUGGAGGGGCCGUUCGGUACUGUCGUGACUCGAGUCCGGUAGGGGAGUGUGGAAUUCCCGGUGUAGCGGUGAAAUGCGCAGAGAGCGGGAGGAACACCCGUAGCGAAGGCGGCACUCUGGGCCGGUACUGACGCUGAGGAGCGAAAGCGUGGGGAGCAAACAGG